This 396-nucleotide ribosomal RNA is filed under the name uncultured bacterium. Its description in RNAcentral is "partial 16S ribosomal RNA". It matches the Rfam family "Bacterial small subunit ribosomal RNA", at positions 360 to 773 of the family's 1533-position model. The record is from RNAcentral.
AAUUUUCGGCAAUGGGCGCAAGCCUGACCGAGCAACGCCGCGUGAAGGAUGAAGGCCUUCGGGUCGUAAACUUUUGUCUUUGGGGACGAUAAUGACGGUACCCAAGGAGGAAGCCCCGGCUAACUACGUGCCAGCAGCCGCGGUAAUACGUAGGGGGCGAGCGUUGUCCGGAAUUAUUGGGCGUAAAGGGUGCGUAGGCGGCCUUUUAAGUCAGGUGUGAAAGCCCACGGCUUAACCGUGGGAUUGCAUUUGAAACUGGAAGGCUUGAGUAUCGGAGAGGGUAGUGGAAUUCCCAGUGUAGCGGUGGAAUGCGUAGAUAUUGGGAGGAACACCAGUGGCGAAGGCGACUACCUGGACGAAAACUGACGCUGAGGCACGAAAGCUAGGGGAGCAAAC